Long non-coding RNA from Papaver somniferum (opium poppy), 245 nucleotides. RefSeq lists it as uncharacterized. The transcript is spliced from 3 exons. NCBI's taxonomy places the organism in Eukaryota, Viridiplantae, Streptophyta, Magnoliopsida, Ranunculales, Papaveraceae. The record is from RefSeq and is a predicted model, not a curated record.
CUGCAGACUUGGUUGAGGCAUUUAUCAAGAUAAUAGAGGAGAAGGCUGACACGAUUGAUAAGGUAGAUCAUUUGGAAAUAUGGAUGCCCUCCACCGCCAGCGAGCAAUCUGUGAACUACUUGGCUCAAGCUUGAUGGCGAGGCACAUGCUGGACAAAUUACGCGUCAUUAAAGGGCUGCAUUACUUUGAGGAGCUUUAUGGCAGCUCAGAGUGUUAGCUUUGAAUAGUUUUGGGUUAAAUUUCAU